Molecule: ribosomal RNA, 253 nt
Filed under: uncultured bacterium
Lineage: Bacteria
Description: partial 16S ribosomal RNA
Rfam family: Bacterial small subunit ribosomal RNA
Source: RNAcentral
UACGGAGGGUGCGAGCGUUGAUCGGAAUUACUGGGCGUAAAGGGCGCGUAGGUGGUUUGGUAAGUCGGUUGUGAAAGCCCCGGGCUUAACCUGGGAAUUGCAUUCGAUACUGCCUGGCUAGAGUAUGGUAGAGGGAAGCGGAAUUCCGGGUGUAGCGGUGAAAUGCGUAGAUAUCCGGAGGAACACCAGUGGCGAAGGCGGCUUCCUGGACCAAUACUGACACUGAGGCGCGAAAGCGUGGGGAGCAAACAGG